Molecule: ribosomal RNA, 388 nt
Filed under: uncultured bacterium
Lineage: Bacteria
Description: bacterial SSU rRNA
Rfam family: Bacterial small subunit ribosomal RNA
Source: RNAcentral
GACGAACGCUGGCGGCGUGCUUAACACAUGCAAGUGGAGCGACGAACCAGGGCUUGCCCUGGGGCAAAGCCGCGAACGGGUGAGUAACACGUGGGUAACCUGCCCCGAUGACCGGGACAACCCGAGGAAACUCGGGCUAAUACCGGAUGUGCUCUCGAGCCACAAGGCUCGCGAGCAAAGAUAGCUUCGGCCUUCGCAUCGGGAUGGGCCCGCGGCCCAUUAGCUUGUUGGUGAGGUAACGGCUCACCAAGGCUGCGAUGGGUAGCUGGUCUGAGAGGACGAUCAGCCACACUGGGACUGAGACACGGGCCCAGACUCCUACGGGAGGCAGCAGUGGGGAAUCUUGCGCAAUGCGCGACAGCGUGACGCAGCAACGCCGCGUGGGGAA